RNAcentral lists this ribosomal RNA (915 nucleotides) under uncultured marine archaeon. RNAcentral's name for it is "bacterial SSU rRNA". It matches the Rfam family "Archaeal small subunit ribosomal RNA", at positions 1 to 922 of the family's 1478-position model. The record is from RNAcentral.
UUCCGGUUGAUCCUGCCGGACCUGACUGCUAUCGGAUUGAUACUAAGCCAUGCGAGUCUUUGCAGUAAUGCAAGGCAUACGGCUCAGUAACACGUAGUCAACCUACCCUAUGGACGAGAAUAAUCUCGGGAAACUGAGCAUAAUUCUUGAUAGAUCAUAAUGCCUGGAAUGGUUUAUGGUUAAAAUGAUUCGUCGCCAUAGGAUGGGACUGCGGCCUAUCAGCUUGUUGGUGAGGUAAUGGCCCACCAAGGCGAUUACAGGUACGGGCUCUGAGAGGAGAAGCCCGGAGAUGGGUACUGAGACACGGACCCAGGCCCUAUGGGGCGCAGCAGGCGAGAAAACUUUGCAAUGUGCGAAAGCACGACAAGGUUAAUCCGAGUGAUUUCUGCUAAAGAAAUCUUUUACCAGUCGUAAAACCGCUGGUGAAUAAGGGGUGGGCAAGUUCUGGUGUCAGCCGCCGCGGUAAAACCAGCACCUCAAGUGGUCAGGAUGAUUAUUGGGCCUAAAGCAUCCGUAGCCGGCUUUGUAAGUUUUCGGUUAAAUCCAUGUGCUCAACGCAUGGGCUGCCGAAAAUACUGCAUGGCUAGGGAGUGGGAGAGGUAGACGGUACUCAGUAGGUAGGGGUAAAAUCCUUUGAUCUAUUGAUGACCACCUGUGGCGAAGGCGGUCUACCAGAACACGUUCGACGGUGAGGGAUGAAAGCUGGGGGAGCAAACCGGAUUAGAUACCCGGGUAGUCCCAGCUGUAAACGAUGCAGACUCGAUGAUGCAUUGGCAUAAUAGCCAUUGCAGUGUCGCAGGGAAGCCGUUAAGUCUGCCGCCUGGGAAGUACGUACGCAAGUAUGAAACUUAAAGGAAUUGGCGGGGGAGCACCACAAGGGGUGAAGCCUGCGGUUCAAUUGGAGUCAACGCCGGG